RNAcentral lists this long non-coding RNA (234 nucleotides) under Ananas comosus (pineapple). RNAcentral's name for it is "long non-coding RNA (ACOM_LNC032259)". Lineage: Eukaryota; Viridiplantae; Streptophyta; Magnoliopsida; Poales; Bromeliaceae. The record is from RNAcentral.
AUAAUUUUAUUAUUUUUUUCUCUUUCGACGUAUGUUGCGUUAUUUAUAAAUAUAAUCUACAAUAUAGAAAAAAAAUUUAUUAUUCAUUGAUCCCUCCCUAUAGGGGGUUUGAAAAUAAGGUUCGAAUCCCUGACUUUUUGGAAUAAAAUGAUUUAGAUUUAAAAUAAAAUAAACGAAGCGGGUAACGUGCUAUCUUUUAAAAAAAUAAAUAAAUAAAUAGAAUGUAUCAAAUAG